GCCUGUGGGACCCCCCCUCUCCUGCCCACCUGAAAUCCCUGAGGGCGCCGGUGUCCAAACUUUUUCAAAGAGGGCCAGAUUUGAUGAAGUGGCGGGCCAACCAAAGUUGUUGAGGUUUUUUUAGGAUUUUACCUCAGGAAAUAAACUGCCACAGGGGCCGGAUUAAACUGACCGGCGGGCCGGAUUAGGCCCCUGAAACACUCUGGACAUGCCUGACUUAGGGGAAACCUCUUUGUUUAAAAAUAAAAGGAGUGGAGCGGAUUAACUACACACAAUUGUAGAAUGAGCUAUUUUUGAAUGAGCUAUUAUUAGGAGGAAAGCGCUAUUGCAGCCUCUCCACCUGCUCACAUAUCAUUGGCACUUGGAAAGCUGCGCUUUCUUUUGCUUCAUUGAAAACGGAUAUGAUGACGACCCUUAAGUAGUGGUUUUUGAACUUUAAAUUAUUGCCUUGUGUAAUUUGGGCUGUCUUCAAGAGUUUUCCAAGAAAGAAGGUGCCAGACACCAUUUUUAAGCAUCGCUUUGUUCAGCCAGUUCAGCACAGUCAAUGUGCACACUGGGCUUAUAUUUGGUGAUUUGUUGACAUUCAAGGCAGUUAAUGCAUUGCAAUAUGCUUCACAGCUUUUUUGAUCCCCUCAUGAACCGAUAUGAGUGUCAAGUUCUCCUCAGACUUGAAAUCUCUGUGCACAUGCCAGCUCUUCUUCAGGUGCAGAAGAUGAGCUGGUAUUUAAAGUUGAAAGAAACAUUCAAAAUUAGAAUUCUAAUCAUUUCAUUAUAUCUGAUUCUUUAAUGGUGAUAUUGUGCACUAACAGGACAUAUGUCAG
Non-coding RNA from Podarcis lilfordi (Lilford's wall lizard), 821 nucleotides. Lineage: Eukaryota; Metazoa; Chordata; Lepidosauria; Squamata; Lacertidae. The record is from the annotation of a GenBank genome assembly.